GCGAAGAAUGAAGGUCAGAGAAGACCAAUUUUCUUGUGCUCGACUGAUUAAAUUAAUUGAUUGAUUCGCGGAUCAAAUAUGUUCGUCGGUCUUCGUGAAAAAAUAGUAGUGCACUACUUUUAUACUACUUUUUCAUGAUGGAUGUCCUACGUCACGUGCACUGCAUCUGAUCACCCUACCUUUACUUAAAUUGUUUAUAUACAUCCGAGUUCUGACAUUAUAGUGUCUAGAUUCCAGUUGGUAAAAUUAUCAUACUCAAGACCGGAUACAAUGCCCUUCUUUAAUCUUCAAAUUCUUCGCAAAGGACUUAUUGACGAAGCUCAAGAGAAUUCGAAACCACAAUUAAGAUUUUAAAAUCUCAAAAUGAUUCAGAAUUCCUUGUCUAUGAUUUACACGUAUUAUUCAAAAUUUGUGAUCCCGAUACGUCCCUAUCUUUCUUCAUUUCAUUGAGAUUUUAUCAACACGAAAGAGGAGGAUUUGCGCUCCGGCUGAAGUACCGAGAAAAUAUUAUUUCCUAUUCGCAGAAGAUUCGUGGAAAUAUAAUGAAAAAUACGUAAGUACU
Acromyrmex echinatior (Panamanian leafcutter ant) is the source of this 562-nucleotide long non-coding RNA. RefSeq lists it as uncharacterized. NCBI's taxonomy places the organism in Eukaryota, Metazoa, Arthropoda, Insecta, Hymenoptera, Formicidae. The record is from RefSeq and is a predicted model, not a curated record.